ACAAUCUCCCCAGGAACAAGGAGAUUGGAGCUCGAUUCUACUCCUCCAGGUUGCAGGCAGAGCCAAAUACACUGAGAGGCUUAACAUUCCAGAUUAAUUCUUCCCUCCAGUGGUUUGCAAAAGCUGUGAGUUUGAAAAGAAACAAACUCAAACUUUGAGAGUAAGAGUAGGGAAGUGGGAGAUGGUACUGUUUCAGACAAGGGUGGGGUUGGUGGACAUUUCGCAACAAAGCCCCAGUGGCACAGGCUGUAUUUGGGCUUUCCUGCUGCAUUGAGAGGUCAGCAAGAUUGCCUUGGCUGGGAACCAAACUCAUCCUGGUUUCCUGUCUUGGGAUCUCAAGGGGCUAGAAUGAGCUGCUAUUCCAAGGGAGAGAAGAAAGCAACCCCAGGAAGCCUGGCCCCGAAGACUGUGAGGUAUGGUGGGGCCUUGCUGUGCUCUGGACUGGACAAGAGGCACCCUGGGCUCUGGACACAGCCAGAUCUUCAGCCAAUUGCAUCUCCGGCCCAGGGCAGGCCCUUUAUCUUAUAGCCCAGUGGUGCCUCUCUCCUCACCUAGGAAACAAAGCCAACAGGAUCUGCACCACCUCUGCCUCCCGGACAUUGGAAGGACUAAAUAAGAUCAGAGACCUCAUUCCUAGAUGGAACGAGGAAUGGUAGCGACCACGAUCCUCCCCUCCCAGGAUCUGCGCCACAAGGGAAGAUCAGAACCUUCAGCUGCCAGAAGCACUGUGGCGGAAAUGUAGGUCCCCAUCCAGGCUGAUCUGAGCUUGGCUUUCUGGAGCACGCAAACCUCGAUGCACUGAACUGCUGCCGGACCUCACCUUGCCAGGCCCACUGUGCUCACACUCACACAUCGCUCCAUCCACUGGAGGCUGCAGAGGCAAGAUCCACCAAGAAGAUGGUCUUCCUGUCCAGGAUGCCCUUCCCUGAGAGAAGUGUAUUUAAUCUUAAAUUCAGAUGUUUGUUUGUCUACCCACUUAAAACACCCUGUUGAAUAAAAAUUACUCAAGGAACACAUGGAGGCUUUGUCCAUGUAAAAGAACAAA
Molecule: long non-coding RNA, 1045 nt
Organism: Homo sapiens (human)
Lineage: Eukaryota; Metazoa; Chordata; Mammalia; Primates; Hominidae
Product: long intergenic non-protein coding RNA 1736
Source: Ensembl